Molecule: ribosomal RNA, 263 nt
Filed under: uncultured bacterium
Lineage: Bacteria
Description: partial 16S ribosomal RNA
Rfam family: Bacterial small subunit ribosomal RNA
Source: RNAcentral
UACGUAGGUGGCAAGCGUUAUCCGGAUUUACUGGGUGUAAAGGGUGAGUAGGCGGGUCUGCAAGUCAGGUGUGAAAUACUGCGGCUCAACCGCAGAAUUGCAUUUGAAACUACGGAUCUUGAGUGUCGGAGAGGUAAUUGGAAUUCCCAGUGUAGCGGUGAAAUGCGUAGAGAUUGGGAGGAACACCAGUGGCGAAGGCGGAUUACUGGACGACAACUGACGCUGAUACACGAAAGCGUGGGGAGCAAACAGGAUUAGAUACC